CCUAGUCUCAGUAAGUACCAGAUAGCUGAGAGCAAAUUGAUGACUUUCCCUUCCCAUUGGAGUUUGUGCUAUAUUUUCCAUUAAUUAAGUGCAAUGUUUAAGUUUAAUUUUUAGAACACUGCAUUUCAACUGCACGGAUUGGUUACAAAAUGUCCUCUUUGUCAUUUAGCUUUAUCAUGGACCAUUUUCUUUUGCAUUUUGAUCACGUGUCUCUAUUAUGUCCAAAGUACGAAAAACCUACUCCUGCAAAUGUGUUAGAAAGCUUAUGCUAAUGUUCCCUAUAUAUGAUUCCAAAUAUGCAUGUCAGUUUACUUAAUUAAAUCUCAAUUGUGGUGCAUUGUUUGCAGGAGCACCUUAAAAAAAGUGACCUGUCUUUCGUAUUUCGAUUACAGGUUGCUGACGAUUCUACAUUGUAUGGUUGCUGUGUGUUAGUUGAUGAAAUUGUGCAAAAACCCUCUGGAUUGCUCUCCAUGAUUUCAGAUAAGCGCUCUUCCUGCUCAUCUUUGAGUCGUCAUGUACUAACGACUCGCAGAUGUUACUGCAUUCUUUCAAGGCUUCCAUUCUUACUGCAUUUUAUAACUAAGAUUUUUAAUUUUCUUAUCUAAUUGGCAACGCAUGUUUAGAAAAUAAUAGUUAAUUACUAAAUUAACCAAUAUCGCCUUUUUCUUUAAUA
Non-coding RNA from Jatropha curcas, 673 nucleotides. The record is from RefSeq and is a predicted model, not a curated record. NCBI's taxonomy places the organism in Eukaryota, Viridiplantae, Streptophyta, Magnoliopsida, Malpighiales, Euphorbiaceae.